RNAcentral lists this unclassified non-coding RNA (336 nucleotides) under soil metagenome. RNAcentral describes it as "partial contains 5.8S ribosomal RNA, internal transcribed spacer 2, and large subunit ribosomal RNA". The stretch from base 1 to 120 matches the Rfam family "5.8S ribosomal RNA", at positions 35 to 154 of the family's 154-position model. The record is from RNAcentral.
GAUGAAGAACGCAGCGAAAUGCGAUAAGUAGUGUGAAUUGCAGAAUUCAGUGAAUCGUCGAAUCUUUGAACGCACAUUGCGCCCCUUGGUAUUCCAUGGGGCAUGCCUGUUCGAGCGUCAUUUGUACCUUCAAGCUUUGCUUGGUGUUGGGUGUUUGUCUCGCCUUUGCGUGUAGACUCGCCUUAAAAUAAUUGGCAGCCGGCGUAUUGAUUUCGGAGCGCAGUACAUCUCGCGCUUUGCACUCAUAACGACAGCGUCCAAAAGUACAUUUUACACUCUUGACCUCGGAUCAGGUAGGGAUACCCGCUGAACUUAAGCAUAUCAAUAAGCGGAGGA